Long non-coding RNA from Gadus macrocephalus (Pacific cod), 857 nucleotides. RefSeq lists it as uncharacterized. NCBI's taxonomy places the organism in Eukaryota, Metazoa, Chordata, Actinopteri, Gadiformes, Gadidae. The transcript has 2 exons. The record is from RefSeq and is a predicted model, not a curated record.
UCCCCUAAGUCGUCAUACAUGUUACCUCCCCUUUCUCUGCCUUGCCCGACCAGAGAAUUUGGCCCGCAAAUGAAACAAUUAGCUACGACCGUUGGAGCGCCGCGUCCGUGCGUGUGUGUGUGUGAAUACACACACUGUGAUGCAAGUUUACACUUCUUUGUUAUUUGGAUAGCUGUUCUGCUGUUGGUGUUAUGGUGCAUAACAUGUAGGGUUCUCUGACGUCUCUGGUAUUUCCACGAGACUCGUGUUGGGGGCGUUGGUGCCUCGGCAGCGGGCGGCAGGGCUCCGUCGGGAGACAAUCACGGGCAACAAUCCCUUUCUCUUCAAUGUCACGGUUCAGUCUACUUCAGAUUGAUGUGGAAGAACCAGAGACGUCGUAGAGAACCCGACGCAGUCGUUUGAGAUUAAAAAUAUCGUCUGGAGGCGCACACAGCUUUUGGCUGUGAUAAUAUAUAUUAUAUGAUAGAUAUCUAUGUGUAAUAUGAUAUUAUUUAGAUAUAGAGCUCCAGGACUCCCGCCGGAGCACCCGGAAUGUUCUAGAAUAUUUACAGAACAUGACCAAAAGCUGUGUGCGCCUCGAGAUGAUAUUUUGAAUCUGAGCCAUUGCGUUACAUCCACUGUAAACACGAGCGCAUGGUACCGUGGCCGCAAGCUGCUCAGGGCCACACCCCCACCCUCCACCUUGACCCCCCUCUAAAAAACUGCACGUUUUCGGAAAGCUCAUUGUGAGACUGGCUCGUAGUGGUUGUAAUUCUGCACCAAGGCUGAAUUUCUUGAACGUCUUCAAGUACUGUAUUAGGGGCCCACUAACAGCUAUAUAAAAGCAUCCAUAAAGUAGCAUGCCAUGGGACCUUUAA